ACGAAGCGGAGCAAUUCCUCGGGGCAGGAAGGAAGUGAGGGAGUUGGAAAAGAUUGGAGCAUUCACAGGUGCCCUCGCUGUCACUGGGGGUGGGAGGUGGGAUCUGAGUGACAAACCACAGAGAUUUCACCUCAGCCUUUGCCUGAACUGAUUGAUGUCAAAUCUCCAGAUUGCUGUAACGUCUAGGAUUUAUUCAUAAAGACGAUGCAAUUGCAUGAAAACAGUGUGAAACUCCUUGAGUCAUUGGCCAUUUCUACCGAGUCCCGGGCAAUGACAUCUUUCUGAUUUUGUUUCGUUCACUGUUCCACAAGUGGGAAGGUGAAGGAGUCGUCAAAGAAGUUUUCGUUUCUGAAUCAACAGAUUUAUAAUGGGAGCCUUUUCAUGCUAGUCGUUAGACUAAUGUCUUGGUUUCGCCACGAGGACGCAUCUUCACCGAAAACACUAAACGUUGUUUGAAAGUAACGCUAUUUGUCGAAGAGAUGCUUCAUUCUGUCAGAAACAUACACUGACUCCAAUGAUGUUCUGUGCACAUUCGCUUGUCAAAAAGAUAUGGGGAAUAAAGAUAAAUUCCAGGCAUAUCGAUGCCUUCACGGGCUUGAUUACAAAAAAAAAUUAAAAUUCCAAACAGAAACAAAAAGAAUCAAUUUGAGGCUCAGACUUUGUACAAUGGUCCGGAAAUCCUUCGUUUAUAAAACGCGCAAUUGAACGGGAUGGGGUGUCAGUAAAUGGAUACUUAAUGGGGAAAUGGAAUUGAAUUUCAUGGAGUAACGUGCUUAAAUACGGUAUAUAUAAUUGGAUUGGUAGACAGACAUAAACAGAUAUUAAGUAGAAAGAUUAAUCGAUAUAGAAAUACUGAAACUGCCAAAUGCUAGAAGGACAUAUACAGAGCAGAAUGUCGUCGGUUAAAGAGUACGAUUGUCCCAUGUGUCUGCGUAUAAACGAGAAAAA
Rhincodon typus (whale shark) is the source of this 948-nucleotide long non-coding RNA. RefSeq lists it as uncharacterized. The record is from RefSeq and is a predicted model, not a curated record. Lineage: Eukaryota; Metazoa; Chordata; Chondrichthyes; Orectolobiformes; Rhincodontidae. The transcript is spliced from 3 exons.